GCUCCUUUAGCUCAGUGGUAGAGCGUGGGAUUGCAGUUACACAGCUCAAUCAUCCUAAGGUCGCUUGUUCGAACCAGGCAGGGAGCU
Molecule: non-coding RNA, 87 nt
Organism: Hortaea werneckii EXF-2000
Lineage: Eukaryota; Fungi; Ascomycota; Dothideomycetes; Mycosphaerellales; Teratosphaeriaceae
Source: Rfam